GGGCCUAUCGUCUAACGGAUAAGACAGGAGCCUUCUAAGCUUCUAAUGUAGGUUCGAUUCCUGCUAGGCUCA
This 72-nucleotide transfer RNA is filed under the name Polulichloris maxima. RNAcentral describes it as "tRNA-Arg". It matches the Rfam family "tRNA". Rfam says of the family: Transfer RNA (tRNA) molecules are approximately 80 nucleotides in length. The record is from RNAcentral. Lineage: Eukaryota; Viridiplantae; Chlorophyta; Trebouxiophyceae; Watanabeales; Watanabeaceae.